This 50-nucleotide ribosomal RNA is filed under the name Cylindrocarpon sp. CCF3802. Its description in RNAcentral is "partial 28S ribosomal RNA". Lineage: Eukaryota; Fungi; Ascomycota; Sordariomycetes; Hypocreales; Nectriaceae. The record is from RNAcentral.
GAAUCAGGUAGGACUACCCGCUGAACUUAAGCAUAUCAUAANGCGGAGGA